UACGUAGGGGGCAAGCGUUGUCCGGAAUUAUUGGGCGUAAAGAGCGCGUAGGCGGUCCGAUAAGUCGGCUGUGAAAGUCAGGGGCUCAACCCUUGAAAGCCGGCCGAUACUGUCGGACUAGAGUCCGGAAGAGGCAAGUGGAAUUCCCGGUGUAGCGGUGAAAUGCGCAGAUAUCGGGAAGAACACCCGUGGCGAAGGCGGCUCUCUGGGACGGUACUGACGCUGAGACGCGAAAGCGUGGGGAGCGAACAGG
This 253-nucleotide ribosomal RNA is filed under the name uncultured bacterium. Its description in RNAcentral is "partial 16S ribosomal RNA". It matches the Rfam family "Bacterial small subunit ribosomal RNA", at positions 524 to 776 of the family's 1533-position model. The record is from RNAcentral.